RNAcentral lists this long non-coding RNA (1651 nucleotides) under Gallus gallus (chicken). Its description in RNAcentral is "lncRNA (ENSGALG00010023622.1)". The record is from RNAcentral. Lineage: Eukaryota; Metazoa; Chordata; Aves; Galliformes; Phasianidae.
GGGGGCGCUCCGGCUCCGAGGCGGCUGCGAGCGCCAAGCGGGGUGGUGGUGGAUUUUUUUUUUUUUUUCUUCUCCUCUUUAUUUGUUUCCUCCUCUUUUUUUUUUUUUUUCCCUUUUCUUUUUUUUUUUCUCCUUUUUUUUUUUUUUUUUUUCCUCGCCUCUCUCCCGGCUGAGUGCAGCCACACAUGACGCCAGCCCCCCAGCCCGCCACGCGCUACUUCCCGGCCGGCCCUCCGCCCCCCCCCACCCCCCCCGGCCCCGUUCCCUAGAAAUGCAGCCGAGGCGCGGGGAAGAGGGGACGCGGUUUUGGCGGGGGGGGAAGAGAUUCUUUUUGUUCUGUUGGGGGACAGCUUUGGUUUGUUGUUUUCCAGUUUCUUUUUUUCUUCCCCCCCCCCUCCCCCUUGCACACAAAAUAAGUGAAGAAGAUGUGGCAAGGUGUGGCCGCGCCGUCGGGGCCGAGGAAUCUCUGGCACCGCAGGAGCAGCAGCCCACACCAGUUUUUUAUUUUAAUUACAGGUAGUCGAGCUUCCUAAUUUGUAGAAGAGAGUUGCAAAACUCGUUCCUGUGAAAAUCAGAGUCCCCACUUAAAAGAACGUGGAGCAGCCUCUGCUUCGGACAGGAGGACGUCCGUCCCAGGAGAAAGAGCAUCAGUUCUCAGUUGGGCCACCUUCCAUGCGAUGGAGCAACGUAGCUAAGCUGUAGGUUGCCUUAUGCUUGCAACACUGCAACCCCGAGGAAGUCUGCAUCUGCAGAGAUCUGCCUUCAUGCCUGGACUGAUAAGCGACGCUGGGGAAGCGUCUUGGCCAGAUGCUGCUGCAGUAUCCCGCCUCCUCAUCGCAUCGCCCUCUGGAAGACAGAAGUGACGAUCAGCAGCGUGGUGUUGUCCUGCAGGCAGCUGAAGAACCACUUUGACAGCAAGCAGGAGAACAACUAUGCAGUGUAAUCACAGCCUGUCUGUGCUCUUUCUAACAGUGUACAUGAGCACCCUAUUCCCAGCGAGGGGAUGCUGUAACCUCCCCCUGCUGACCUGUAUUCUUCUCCGUUACUGUAACCAAGCUGUUUCUUUCCCACGGCCACGCGUUCCUGCAGAUAUACCAAGGGUUCCCAUGCAGAUAGGUUUACAAAUUCAGGAAGGGCUUGGACAGAGCAAAAGGAGAAUGAAGUAAUUCCCAAAUAUUUGCACUGUGGCUGAUGAAAUUAGCAGGAGAGCUGAGUGGGUGUAUAGGGGUCUGCUGGGGGACGGAUGGAAGGAAACCUGGGGACAAACUGUCUGCUGUUCGACGUGCUCUGAGUGCUGUGUGAUAAAGGUGAAUCACCCAGCUUAGCUGCAGGUGAGCCAGCAGGACAGUGGCUGGGGCCGAGUCCCACUGCAGCCUGUGUGGGGGCUGUGUGCUGGGUCCGGUGGGCUUUGAAUCCCACCACAAAGACAGUGGCUGUCGACAAGGUCACGAACGCAGAGCUUCGCCUUCUGUUGAUUAUGUGGUUGUCAGUGGAAGAAUUACUGUGUAUCUAUGGGAAAUGUUAAAAAACAACAACGCCUUUUUUUCUUGAAUAAAUCUGUGAAACGAACCAACCUUUGUUUCUGUUCUGUUUCUUUGGGUUUCAUUCCCUUUGCGCUUAGCGACCCAUCGCUGUCCAACCCCCCCCCCCU